This 253-nucleotide ribosomal RNA is filed under the name uncultured Acidobacteriota bacterium. RNAcentral describes it as "uncultured Acidobacteria bacterium partial 16S ribosomal RNA". It matches the Rfam family "Bacterial small subunit ribosomal RNA", at positions 524 to 776 of the family's 1533-position model. The record is from RNAcentral. Lineage: Bacteria; Pseudomonadati; Acidobacteriota.
UACGUAGGGACCAAGCGUUGUUCGGAUUUACUGGGUGUAAAGGGCUUGUAGGCGGCCAACUAAGUCCGACGUGAAAUCCCUAGGCUUAACCUAGGAACUGCGUCGGAUACUGGAUGGCUUGAAUCCGGGAGAGGGAUGCGGAAUUCCAGGUGUAGCGGUGAAAUGCGUAGAUAUCUGGAGGAACACCGGUGGCGAAGGCGGCAUCCUGGACCGGCAUUGACGCUGAAAAGCGAAAGCCAGGGGAGCAAACGGG